GAUGAACGCUGGCGGCGUGCCUAAUACAUGCAAGUCGAGCGAACAGACGAGGAGCUUGCUCCUCUGACGUUAGCGGCGGACGGGUGAGUAACACGUGGAUCACCUACCUAUAAGACUGGGAUAACUUCGGGAAACCGGAGCUAAUACCGGAUAAUAUAUUGAACCGCAUGGUUCAAUAGUGAAAGACGGUUUUGCUGUCACUUAUAGAUGGAUCCGCGCCGCAUUAGCUAGUUGGUAAGGUAACGGCUUACCAAGGCAACGAUGCGUAGCCGACCUGAGAGGGUGAUCGGCCACACUGGAACUGAGACACGGUCCAGACUCCUACGGGAGGCAGCAGUAGGGAAUAUUCCGCAAUGGGCGAAAGCCUGACGGAGCAACGCCGCGUGAGUGAUGAAGGUCUUCGGAUCGUAAAACUCUGUUAUUAGGGAAGAACAAAUGUGUAAGUAACUAUGCACGUCUUGACGGUACCUAAUCAGAAAGCCACGGCUAACUACGUG
This 497-nucleotide ribosomal RNA is filed under the name uncultured bacterium. RNAcentral describes it as "partial 16S ribosomal RNA". It matches the Rfam family "Bacterial small subunit ribosomal RNA", at positions 28 to 507 of the family's 1533-position model. The record is from RNAcentral.